UACGAAGGGGGCUAGCGUUGCUCGGAAUCACUGGGCGUAAAGCGCACGUAGGCGGAUUUCUAAGUCAGGGGUGAAAUCCUGGAGCUCAACUCCAGAACUGCCUUUGAUACUGGGAAUCUUCGAGUCCGGGAGAGGUGAGUGGAACUGCGAGUGUAGAGGUGAAAUUCGUAGAUAUUCGCAAGAACACCAGUGGCGAAGGCGGCUCACUGGCCCGGUACUGACGCUGAGGUGCAAAAGCGUGGGGAGCAAACAGG
RNAcentral lists this ribosomal RNA (254 nucleotides) under uncultured bacterium. RNAcentral describes it as "partial 16S ribosomal RNA". It matches the Rfam family "Bacterial small subunit ribosomal RNA", at positions 524 to 776 of the family's 1533-position model. The record is from RNAcentral.